This is a long non-coding RNA of Colossoma macropomum (tambaqui), 702 nucleotides long. RefSeq lists it as uncharacterized. The record is from RefSeq and is a predicted model, not a curated record. NCBI's taxonomy places the organism in Eukaryota, Metazoa, Chordata, Actinopteri, Characiformes, Serrasalmidae. The transcript is spliced from 3 exons.
GUUGAAAGUAGGCAAUUCCUUUUUGACUGGCAUAAAGGUUGGCACUGUAGCUGCCUGGCUGAAUGUACGAGACCCUUUUGUCCAAGUUGCUGUACAACCAGCAACAGUUAACACAGCAGUCGUCACACAGUUUGAAGGUCCUGACUGGGUUCAGCAAGCAAAAUGGGAGCUUCUUCCACCACCCAUGUGUACAAUGCUUCAAGCUCUGAAAUAGAGAUCAUCUGCCCUGUGGGGAAGCUGGAGCUGCGGGACGUUCAGAAGGACGCCAUGGCAGAGGCUGGCGCUUCUAAAGCUGAAGGGGUCAUGGGAAAGAUGUAUAAAUUCACACACAAGACCUUCGUAAGAGACGACCGAAUUUGCUCCCUGAGAUUGCCCCCGAAUGACCGCAGCAGCAUUAAAGGAAAUGGACAUCUGUUCAUCACUAUUAUCUCGAAUCCUGAUUCUACUCCAAAAGAGUUGUGCGUUAACUAUCCUGUUCCCAUAUACAGGUCAAUCAUCGUGACCGACGACACGGUCAAGUUCAAAGGGUGUGGCAAAAAUGACUGGGUUGAUGAAUAUGGCAAGAAUCAUGACCCAGAAUUUAACAACUGACUUCUGUAUAUAGGAGUAAACAGCCUAAUGUUGCUGAAACCAGUCUGACCAUAAAUCCAAUCAGUAUCUUGAUAAUUAUUUGACUAUAAUUUACUAAUUAAGAUGAUUUAA